UACGUAGGGUCCCAAGCGUUAAUCGGAAUUACUGGGCGUAAAGCGUGCGCAGGCGGUUGUGCAAGACCGAUGUGAAAUCCCGGCGUACUAGGAGUAUCAUGUGACUGCACGGCGUAGAGUGUGUCAGAGGGGGUAGGAAUCCACGUGUAGCAGUGAAAUAGCGUAGAGAUGUGGAGGAAUACCGACUGGCGAAGGCGAGCCCCCGUCGGGAGUAACACUGACGCUCAUGCACGAAAGCGU
RNAcentral lists this ribosomal RNA (240 nucleotides) under uncultured bacterium. RNAcentral's name for it is "partial 16S ribosomal RNA". It matches the Rfam family "Bacterial small subunit ribosomal RNA", at positions 524 to 762 of the family's 1533-position model. The record is from RNAcentral.